GCGGGGUUGCCCUAGCCUGGUAGGGGGCAGGCCUGCUAAGCCUGUGGUCCAUCGUGGCCGCGCGGGUUCAAAUCCCGCACCCCGCGCCA
Molecule: transfer RNA, 89 nt
Filed under: Candidatus Bathyarchaeota archaeon
Lineage: Archaea; Thermoproteati; Candidatus Bathyarchaeota
Description: tRNA-Ser
Rfam family: tRNA
About the family: Transfer RNA (tRNA) molecules are approximately 80 nucleotides in length. Their secondary structure includes four short double-helical elements and three loops (D, anti-codon, and T loops).
Source: RNAcentral